Molecule: ribosomal RNA, 666 nt
Filed under: Triticum aestivum (bread wheat)
Lineage: Eukaryota; Viridiplantae; Streptophyta; Magnoliopsida; Poales; Poaceae
Description: partial small subunit ribosomal RNA
Source: RNAcentral
AUGAAGCCCCAUUGUGCUCGUUGGAGUGCGGCAAUGGACCAAGUGAAGGAUGCACCGCCUAGUGGAACCGUGGAGAGUGACUAUGAGGCAAUUGCCGACUUGAGGUACAAGGAGAUGGCCGCUUCCAAGGGCAAAGCAUUCCCAUUUAAACAUGUUUGGAAAAUUCUUCAAACUUAUGACAAGUGGAAGUUGAGGGAUCAAGAGACCGCACCCAAGAAGUCGGCAAUGCUUAGGAUGGAUGAUAGUGAAGAGGAGGGAAGGAACGAGCACAAGCCCGCUGGAAACAAGAAGGAUAAGCUAAGGAAGAAGAUGGAAGGAGAGGCGUCAAGCAUAAGGGAGAAGAUAGAACAUAUGAUGAAGUCAAGGGAGGCAUUGACAAUGAAGACAUUGGAGACAAAGCUUCUUAUCAACGAGAAGAAGAAAGAGGUGAAGCUUGCACAAGUUGAAGCAAGGCGUGAAGAUGCCAAGCGCAAGGCCGACUUGGAGGAGAGGAUGAUCAAGGUCAAAGAAGCAAAGGCAUGGAAAGAACUCAUGGUGGAAGAGAAGGAGCACAUGAUGAUGUCCAAGAAAGACAUGGAUGAAGACCAAUUGAUGUGGUGGAAGGAGUACAAGCAGGACAUCGUGGAGAGGAAGAGGAUAUUCCGUGGUGCGUCCUCUACUCUUUGA